UCCGGCUUCCCGCCGGCAGUCUCCCGAGAGUCCCCGCCUUUACGCGCUGGCAACAGACGAUAGGGGUUGCGCUCGUUGCGAGACUUAACCCAACAUUUCACAACACGAGCUGACGACAGCCAUGCAGCACCUCUCACUACAUUUCCUUGCGGACACUCCGGGCAUUGCCCCGGAUUCGUAGGAGUUCAAGCCUAGGUAAGGUUCUGCGCGUUGCUUCGAAUUAAACCACAUAAUCCACCGCUUGUGCGGGCCCCCGUCAAUUUGUUUGAGUUUUAGUCUUGCGACCGUACUCCCCAGGCGGAGCACUUAAUGCGUUAGCUGCGUCACUGAGGGAGUCAAUACCCCCAAUAACUAGUGCUCAUCGUUUACGGCGUGGACUAC
Molecule: unclassified non-coding RNA, 381 nt
Filed under: uncultured Bacteriovoracaceae bacterium
Lineage: Bacteria; Pseudomonadati; Bdellovibrionota; Bacteriovoracia; Bacteriovoracales; Bacteriovoracaceae
Description: contains 16S-23S intergenic spacer region
Source: RNAcentral